CAGAGUACCGAGGUCCCUGACCUCUACUCCCACCCUAUGUUGACUUGCAACGUUGCUUUGGCGGGCCGGUGGGUCCCCCACCGCCGGGCUGCGCCUGGAGAGCGCCCGCCAGAGGACCACACAGAAACUCUUGUCAACCACAGACAUCUGAGUACCUUAGAAUUGAACA
This 169-nucleotide unclassified non-coding RNA is filed under the name uncultured fungus. Its description in RNAcentral is "sequence contains ITS1, 5.8S rRNA gene". The record is from RNAcentral. Lineage: Eukaryota; Fungi.